UUGGCUGUUUUGCUUGACCUAUUGCCAUGAAUGAUCCAGAAUCAGAGUCUGCAGAUUUCAGAUCUGGAGCCUUGCAGGUUCCAUUGAUAAAACCAAGCUUCCUCUUGGCUGAUAGAGAUAAGAGGAUAGAUCUCCUCCAACCAGGGUAUCCUCUUCCAUCAAAGACAGCAUUGACUAGAGUCAUACCAGGCAUACUGGUUUGCUAGGGACUGUGAAGAUGAUUUUGAUAUUUUGAUACAGAUUUGGAUCGAGCUUAGGAUUGCUCUGAUACCAUGUAAAGUUGGAGGAGAAAAAUCUAUGAAGAAAGAAUGUCUUCUUCUGUAUCUCCAUUCAUAUUGUGUAUAAUACACUUAUAUAGAAUAUUUACAGAGACAAAGGGAAAUGGUUGUAUUUGUCCUACUUGAAUUUGUACAAAACUUUAUU
Solanum dulcamara is the source of this 423-nucleotide long non-coding RNA. RefSeq lists it as uncharacterized. The transcript has 3 exons. The record is from RefSeq and is a predicted model, not a curated record. Lineage: Eukaryota; Viridiplantae; Streptophyta; Magnoliopsida; Solanales; Solanaceae.